RNAcentral lists this ribosomal RNA (497 nucleotides) under uncultured bacterium. Its description in RNAcentral is "partial 16S ribosomal RNA". It matches the Rfam family "Bacterial small subunit ribosomal RNA", at positions 28 to 507 of the family's 1533-position model. The record is from RNAcentral.
GAUGAACGCUGGCGGCGUGCCUAAUACAUGCAAGUCGAGCGAACAGACGAGGAGCUUGCUCCUCUGACGUUAGCGGCGGACGGGUUAGUAACACGUGGAUAACCUACCUAUAAGACUGGGAUAACUUCGGGAAACCGGAGCUAAUACCGGAUAAUAUAUUGAACCGCAUGGUUCAAUAGUGAAAGACGGUUUUGCUGUCACUUAUAGAUUGAUCCGCGCCGCAUUAGCUAGUUGGUAAGGUAACGGCUUACCAAGGCGACGAUGCGUAGCCGACCUGAGAGGGUGAACGGCCACACUGGAACUGAGACACGGUCCAGACUCCUACGGGAGGCAGCAGUAGGGAAUCUUCCGCAAUGGGCGAAAGCCUGACGGAGCAACGCCGCGUGAGUGAUGAAGGUCUUCGGAUCGUAAAACUCUGUUAUUAGGGAAGAACAAAUGUGUAAGUAACUAUGCACGUCUUGACGGUACCUAAUCAGAAAGCCACGGCUAACUACGUG